This 562-nucleotide long non-coding RNA is filed under the name Macaca mulatta (Rhesus monkey). Its description in RNAcentral is "lncRNA (ENSMMUG00000052253.1)". Lineage: Eukaryota; Metazoa; Chordata; Mammalia; Primates; Cercopithecidae. The record is from RNAcentral.
AGCCAUCCCAGGUACUGGCAGCAGGAUGAAGUUUUCCUUUCAUCACAACCUUUACUUCCACAAUGACAUGACCAUUCAGGAGUAUUGUGUUGGAUGCUUGUUUCUCUACAGAACAGCUGGAGCUCUGCAAUGUCAAUGUUGGACUUUAAGAACCGUCUGAUGCUCUGGAGGCUGAGGCAGGAGAAUGGCAUGAACCUGGGAGGCAGAGCUUGCAGUGAACCAAGACCAUGCCAUCGCACUCUAGCCUGGGUGACACAGCGAGACUCUGUCUUACAAAAAAAAAAAGAACUAGCUGAUGAAUCAUUAGCAAUAAAGAAUGUCGUUUUCUUCAACACCUCCUAGCUGAGCCAAAAUCUAAAUUUUCUGUGGAGAUGUCGUUAUGUGCAAUUUCACUAAAACUUUUACAACUGUAACCACAGUUAUGCUUCAGUGGCAUACCUGUUCAUCCAAUACCUGCACACCUGCUUUAACACAGAAAAAUUAACUCUUAUCAUUACAGACAAUGACAUCUGAAGACACUUUCCAAUCUUCCAUGAAUAUAUGAAAUUCAAAAUGUCAGAAC